This is a long non-coding RNA of Gracilinanus agilis (Agile Gracile Mouse Opossum), 195 nucleotides long. RefSeq lists it as uncharacterized. The transcript is spliced from 3 exons. NCBI's taxonomy places the organism in Eukaryota, Metazoa, Chordata, Mammalia, Didelphimorphia, Didelphidae. The record is from RefSeq and is a predicted model, not a curated record.
UGGCCAGAGUGGCCAGAUGGAGGAACAGCCAGAAGACCAGCAUCACUGGAUGGAGGGGGAUCAAACUUUUACCCUGAGGAGUGAUUUAGCUUCAAUCCAGGAAUUUGGGCAUAUAUCUAGAGGUCUAGAAGAGAUCUGAAUCUUGCUGGAAGCCAGAGAAUGAUGGAGGUGGUGGUGGUGGUGGUGGAGGUGUGG